This 492-nucleotide ribosomal RNA is filed under the name uncultured bacterium. RNAcentral's name for it is "partial 16S ribosomal RNA". It matches the Rfam family "Bacterial small subunit ribosomal RNA", at positions 29 to 507 of the family's 1533-position model. The record is from RNAcentral.
AGUGAACGCUGGCGGUAGGCCUAACACAUGCAAGUCGAACGGCAGCACAGUAAGAGCUUGCUCUUACGGGUGGCGAGUGGCGGACGGGUGAGGAAUACAUCGGAAUCUACUUUUUCGUGGGGGAGAACGUAGGGAAACUUACGCUAAUACCGCAUACGACCUACGGGUGAAAGCAGGGGAUCUUCGGACCUUGCGCGAUUGAAUGAGCCGAUGUCGGAUUAGCUAGUUGGCGGGGUAAAGGCCCACCAAGGCGACGAUCCGUAGCUGGUCUGAGAGGAUGAUCAGCCACACUGGAUCUGAGACACGGUCCAGACUCCUACGGGAGGCAGCAGUGGGGAAUAUUGGACGAUGGGCGCAAGCCUGAUCCAGCCAUACCGCGUGGGUGAAGAAGGCCUUCGGGUUGUAAAGCCCUUUUGUUGGGAAAGAAAAGCAGCAGGUUAAUACCCCGCUGUUCUGACGGUACCCAAAGAAUAAGCACCGGCUAACUUCGUG